CCUACGGGUGGCAGCAGUGGGGAAUAUUGGGCAAUGGGCGCAAGCCUGACCCAGCAACGCCGCGUGAAGGAAGAAGGCUUUCGGGUUGUAAACUUCUUUUGACAGGGACGAGUCGAAUACGGUUCCUGUCGGAUUAGCCACGGCUAAAGACGUGCCAGCAGCCGCGGUAAUACGUAGGUGGCAAGCGUUGUCCGGAUUUACUGGGUGUAAAGGGCGUGUAGCCGGGUUGACAAGUCAGAUGUGAAAUCCUGCGGCUUAACCGCAUACCUGCAUUUGAAACUGUUGUUCUUGAGUACUGGAGAGGCAGACGGAAUUCCGAGUGUAGCGGUGAAAUGCGUAGAUAUUAGGAGGAACACCAGUGGCGAAGGCGGACUGCUGGACAGCAACUGACGGUGAGGCGCGAAAGCGUGGGGAGCAAACAGGAUUAGAUACCCCGGUAGUC
RNAcentral lists this ribosomal RNA (442 nucleotides) under uncultured bacterium. RNAcentral describes it as "partial 16S ribosomal RNA". It matches the Rfam family "Bacterial small subunit ribosomal RNA", at positions 338 to 795 of the family's 1533-position model. The record is from RNAcentral.